Molecule: ribosomal RNA, 433 nt
Filed under: uncultured bacterium
Lineage: Bacteria
Description: partial 16S ribosomal RNA
Rfam family: Bacterial small subunit ribosomal RNA
Source: RNAcentral
AACGAACGCUGGCGGCAUGCCUAACACAUGCAAGUCGAACGAGACCUUCCGGUCUAUUGGCGCACGUGUGCGUAACGCCUGGGAACCUGCCUUUAGGUUCGGAAUAACUCAGAGAAAUUUGAGCUAAUACCGGAUGAUGUCUUCGGACCAAAGAUUUAUCGCCUUUAGAUGGGCCCGCGUUGGAUUAGCCAGUUGGUGGGGUAAAGGCCUACCAACGCGACGAUCCAUAGGUGGUCUGAGAGGAUGAUCCGCCACACUAGGACUGCGACACGGCCCAGAAUCGUACGGGAGGGAGCAGUGGGGAAUAUUGGAGAAGGGGCGAAAGCCUGAUCAAGCAAUGCCGCGUGAGUGAUGAAGGCCUUAGGGUUGUAAAGCUCUUUUACCCGAGAUGAUAAUGACGGUAUCGGGAGAAUAAGCUCCGGCUAACUCCGUG